Molecule: ribosomal RNA, 332 nt
Filed under: uncultured bacterium
Lineage: Bacteria
Description: bacterial SSU rRNA
Rfam family: Bacterial small subunit ribosomal RNA
Source: RNAcentral
CACGCAGGCGGUUCUGCGCGUUUCGAGUGACAGCGGGUGGCUUACCUGCCCGAGUAUUCGAAAGACGGUAGGACUUGAGGGCCAGAGAGGGACACGGAAUUCCGGGUGGAGUGGUGAAAUGCGUAGAGAUCCGGAGGAACACCGAGGGCGAAGGCAGUGUCCUGGCUGGUGACUGACGCUGAGGUGCGAAAGCCAGGGGAGCGAACGGGAUUAGAUACCCCGGUAGUCCUGGCCGUAAACGAUGACCACCAGGUGUGGGAGGUAUCGACCCCUUCCGUGCCGGAGGAAACCCACUAAGUGGUCCGCCUGGGGAGUACGGUCGCAAGAUUAAA